CUGGGCAGCCCUCACAUUCCUC
Molecule: non-coding RNA, 22 nt
Filed under: Rattus norvegicus (Norway rat)
Lineage: Eukaryota; Metazoa; Chordata; Mammalia; Rodentia; Muridae
Source: RNAcentral